CCUACGGGAGGCAGCAGUGGGGAAUUUUCCGCAAUGGGCGAAAGCCUGACGGAGCAAUACCGCGUGAGGGAUGACGGCCUAUGGGUUGUAAACCUCUUUUUUCAGGGAGGAAUCAAUGACGUGUACCUGAAGAAUAAGCAUCGGCUAACUCCGUGCCAGCAGCCGCGGUAAGACGGAGGAUGCAAGUGUUAUCCGGAAUCACUGGGCGUAAAGCGUCUGUAGGUGGUCAAAUAAGUCAACUGUUAAAUCUUGAAGCUCAACUUCAAAAUCGCAGUCGAAACUAUUAGACUAGAGUAUAGUAGGGGUAAAGGGAAUUUCCAGUGGAGCGGUGAAAUGCGUAGAUAUUGGAAAGAACACCGAUGGCGAAGGCACUUUACUGGGCUAUUACUAACACUCAGAGACGAAAGCUAGGGUAGCAAAUGGGAUUAGAUACCCUUGUAGUC
This 443-nucleotide ribosomal RNA is filed under the name uncultured bacterium. RNAcentral describes it as "bacterial SSU rRNA". It matches the Rfam family "Bacterial small subunit ribosomal RNA", at positions 338 to 795 of the family's 1533-position model. The record is from RNAcentral.